Adelges cooleyi (spruce gall adelgid) is the source of this 396-nucleotide long non-coding RNA. RefSeq lists it as uncharacterized. The record is from RefSeq and is a predicted model, not a curated record. Lineage: Eukaryota; Metazoa; Arthropoda; Insecta; Hemiptera; Adelgidae. The transcript has 3 exons.
AGAGAGUGGUUCAGCUACCCUGGCCGACGGCUUUGAUGCUGGUGCAACUACCGUGGCCGAACAGUAGUCUUGUUGCAGUAGUCCAUUCCUGUUGCAGUUAUCGAACAUCGGAUUCUUACCACACGACCAUCCAACUGAUCAAUAGUAAAAAAUGAGGUUGAGUUACUUUUAACUCUAAAAGUUAAAUGCGGAAUAUGCCAAAUCGGGUUAACCAUGGCAACAAAUAGGAUAAACGAAAUUAAUGCAACAAUUAGAACAAUAGAUCGAAUAAGAAAAGCAAAAUACGGCUCUAGAUCACUUAGGCCAAACCCAACUGGAUCGGACUCUCAAACGGACCCCAUUGGAACAUCGAGUAAACGUCUUGUCUAGAGCCAGGCAGGCCGAGGCAGCGUCAUU